GUGGUGUUCGCCCGUCCUGACAGACAGCUGAAGAUGACGGCGGCUCUGCUUCAACUUGAAGCUGGAGGAGCAGACGGCGGGACUGGGACCAGAGGAGGAGGCGAGCGCCACGAGCAGGUCCACGAAGGCGCCGACGAUGAGGCCGUGCGUCUUCUCGCCGUUGGCCCUCAGUCGCCGUACGGGUCAGCGGACUCGAUGGACAGCGCCGUGGCACCGUCGAACGCCGCCGCCUUCUUUUUCGUCUUCUUCAUGAUGGAGCUCGUGGACUCGGGCUCGAACAGGAUCCGCCGGGUAGUGGAGGAGCGGAGGCCGUGGAUGAUCGCCUCGUCCUCGUUGGAAAGGGACACACUGCAAGUAUUAUUGCAUUGGCAGCCUGAGGAUCACACACAUUAUUGUUCUCCAGAAACCCUCGCGAAAUUAAAGCUGGCUGGAAGCAAACGGGAUGCAAGGCUCCUCAGCAGCUCCAUGAUUGUGCACGGACAGUAGGGGUGGUUGCGGCUGUCUGAGAAAGACGGAUGCUUUGCUUGCUCAUACAGUCUAAGGACUAGGCCAGGGAGCACGCCGCAGAGAUGGUCUGAUCUGAUGAUGCCACGCGCACCAGCUUUGCACCGCGUGAUCAACAUGCUGGAUCCUGCAUAUGCUUUCACGUUCCCUGCUGAUGAUGUUGUUUGCUUUAUUACGCCG
Molecule: unclassified non-coding RNA, 684 nt
Filed under: Zea mays
Lineage: Eukaryota; Viridiplantae; Streptophyta; Magnoliopsida; Poales; Poaceae
Description: misc RNA Zm00001eb434160
Source: RNAcentral